Molecule: ribosomal RNA, 337 nt
Filed under: uncultured bacterium
Lineage: Bacteria
Description: bacterial SSU rRNA
Rfam family: Bacterial small subunit ribosomal RNA
Source: RNAcentral
AGGGUUUGAUUCUGGCUCAGGAUGAACGCUAGCUACAGGCUUAACACAUGCAAGUCGAGGGGAAACGACAUUGGAAGCUUGCUUCCGGUGGGCGUCGACCGGCGCACGGGUGAGUAACGCGUAUCCAACCUGCCCACCACUUGGGAAUAACCUUGCGAAAGUAAGACUAAUGCCCAAUGACAUUGAGUGCAGACAUCUAAUCUCAAUUAAAGAUUUAUCGGUGAUGGAUGGGGAUGCGUCCGAUUAGCUUGUUGGCGGGGUAACGGCCCACCAAGGCAACGAUCGGUAGGGGUUCUGAGAGGAAGGUCCCCCACAUUGGAACUGAGACACGGUCCAA